This 253-nucleotide ribosomal RNA is filed under the name uncultured bacterium. RNAcentral's name for it is "partial 16S ribosomal RNA". It matches the Rfam family "Bacterial small subunit ribosomal RNA", at positions 524 to 776 of the family's 1533-position model. The record is from RNAcentral.
UACGGGGGGUGCGGGCGUUAAUCGGAAUUACUGGGCGUAAAGGGUGCGUAGGUGGUUAAGUAAGUUAUCUGUGAAAUCCCUGGGCUCAACCUGGGCGUGUCAGAUAAGACUGCAUGACUCGAGUAUAGGAGAGGGUAGUGGAAUUUCCGGUGUAGCGGUGAAAUGCGUAGAGAUCGGAAGGAACACCGGUGGCGAAGGCGGCUGCCUGGCCUAAUACUGACACUGAGGCACGAAAGCGUGGGGAGCAAACAGG